UACGGAGGAUGCGAGCGUUAUCCGGAUUUAUUGGGUUUAAAGGGUGCGUAGGCGGUCCGUUAAGUCAGCGGUAAAAUUGCGGGGCUCAACCCCGUCGAGCCGUUGAAACUGUCAGACUUGAGUCGGCGAGAAGUGCGCGGAAUGCGUGGUGUAGCGGUGAAAUGCAUAGAUAUCACGCAGAACUCCGAUUGCGAAGGCAGCGCACCGGCGCCCUACUGACGCUCAGGCACGAAAGCGUGGGUAUCGAACAGG
Molecule: ribosomal RNA, 252 nt
Filed under: uncultured bacterium
Lineage: Bacteria
Description: partial 16S ribosomal RNA
Rfam family: Bacterial small subunit ribosomal RNA
Source: RNAcentral